Molecule: ribosomal RNA, 467 nt
Filed under: uncultured bacterium
Lineage: Bacteria
Description: partial 16S ribosomal RNA
Rfam family: Bacterial small subunit ribosomal RNA
Source: RNAcentral
GACGAACGCUGGCGGCGUGCUUAACACAUGCAAGUCGAACGGAAAGGCCCUGCUUUUGUGGGGUGCUCGAGUGGCGAACGGGUGAGUAACACGUGAGUAACCUGCCCUUGACUUGGGAUAACUUCAGGAAACUGGGGCUAAUACCGGAUAGGAGCUCCUGCUGCAUGGUGGGGGUUGGAAAGUUUCGGCGGUUGGGGAUGGACUCGCGGCUUAUCAGCUUGUUGGUGGGGUAGUGGCUUACCAAGGCUUUGACGGGUAGCCGGCCUGAGAGGGUGACCGGCCACAUUGGGACUGAGAUACGGCCCAGACUCCUACGGGAGGCAGCAGUGGGGAAUAUUGCACAAUGGGCGGAAGCCUGAUGCAGCAACGUCGCGUGCGGGAUGACGGCCUUCGGGUUGUAAACCGCUUUCGCCUGUGACGAAGCGUGAGUGACGGUAAUGGGUAAAGAAGCACCGGCUAACUACGUG